Molecule: non-coding RNA, 337 nt
Organism: Schizosaccharomyces pombe (fission yeast)
Lineage: Eukaryota; Fungi; Ascomycota; Schizosaccharomycetes; Schizosaccharomycetales; Schizosaccharomycetaceae
Source: the annotation of a GenBank genome assembly
AGUGACUUGGUCGAGUCAAAUGAGUCGUUCAUUGACUCCAUCAACUUAGUAGAAGACGUUAUCUCAGUCCCAAUAUUCAUAGUAAGCUAUUAAAAUUAGUUAGCAUGUUUUUCCUGAUGAUGGCAAAAAUCUUACCUCUUUCAAAGACUUGACUUUUCCAGUUAACUUUGAAAUCCGUUCAUCAUUUUCAUUUUCCAAGGAGUCUAAAUGCUGAGGAGAUUGAGACUCAUACAAGGGCAACAUAUCGCCAUUGCGUUCUUUUCUUCUACCGAAUCUAAUGAUUAGUUAGACAUUGAUUGAUCAGAUUUAGUACAUACCUUGAUCCCAUUCUGAAGCU